UACGUAGGGAGCAAGCGUUGUCCGGAAUCAUUGGGCGUAAAGCGUGCGUAGACGGUUGCGUAAGUCAGAUGUGAAAGCCCCGGGCUCAACCUGGGAAUUGCAUUUGAGACUGCGUAGCUAGGGUGCGGAAGAGGGAAGCGGAAUUUCCGGUGUAGCGGUGAAAUGCGUAGAUAUCGGAAGGAACACCAGUGGCGAAAGCGGCUUCCUGGUCCAGCACCGACGUUCAGGCACGAAAGCGUGGGGAGCAAACAGG
This 253-nucleotide ribosomal RNA is filed under the name uncultured bacterium. RNAcentral's name for it is "partial 16S ribosomal RNA". It matches the Rfam family "Bacterial small subunit ribosomal RNA", at positions 524 to 776 of the family's 1533-position model. The record is from RNAcentral.